UAGUUUUUUUUUUAAUUCAAAAAGCUCGAUUAAUUUAAUUACCGACAUCAAAUUGAAGCCAAUAAUUUUAAUUAGAGACGUUAAAAUCAAAAGCAUUAAACUCUUCUUUAACCAUCAUCGAUCAGGAAAAAGGAAGUAACAACAGGUUCAGAACAAAAGCGACAAAAAAUGAAGGCAGGAAGUGCUGCCAAGCUGAUCGUAGAUGCAUUGCUACAGCGGUUCCUUCCUCUAGCUAGGCGCCGCAUCGAAACAGCUCAAGUUCAGGAUGGACAGUGUCUUCGACCAUCCGACCCUGCUUAUGAACAAGUACUAGAUUCCUUGGCUAUGGUUGCACAACAUAUGCCUAUUCCUCUUCUAGAAACCCUUCUAAGAUGGCGAGAAAGGUAG
Long non-coding RNA from Gossypium arboreum, 387 nucleotides. RefSeq lists it as uncharacterized. The transcript has 3 exons. NCBI's taxonomy places the organism in Eukaryota, Viridiplantae, Streptophyta, Magnoliopsida, Malvales, Malvaceae. The record is from RefSeq and is a predicted model, not a curated record.